CCUACGGGCGGCAGCAGUGGGGAAUAUUGCACAAUGGGGGAAACCCUGAUGCAGCGACGCCGCGUGAGUGAAGAAGUACUUCGUUAUGUAAAGCUCUAUCAGCAGGGAAGAAAAUGACGGUACCUGACCAAGAAGCCCCGGCUAACUACGGGCCAGCAGCGGCGGUAAUACGUAGGGGGCAAGCGUUAUCCGGAUUUACUGGGUGUAAAGGGAGCGUAGACGGCAAGGCAAGUCUGGAGUGAAAGCCCGGGGCCCAACCACGGGACUGCUGUGGAAACCGGGUUGCUGGAGUGCAGGAGGGGUAAGCGGAAUGCCUAGUGUAGCGGUGAAAUGCGUAGAUAUUAGGAGGAACACCGGUGGCGAAGGCGGCUUACUGGACUGUAACUGACGUUGAGGCUCGAAGGCGUGGGGAGCAAACAGGAUUAGAUACCCGGGUAGUC
Molecule: ribosomal RNA, 440 nt
Filed under: uncultured bacterium
Lineage: Bacteria
Description: partial 16S ribosomal RNA
Rfam family: Bacterial small subunit ribosomal RNA
Source: RNAcentral